Molecule: long non-coding RNA, 226 nt
Filed under: Elaeis guineensis (African oil palm)
Lineage: Eukaryota; Viridiplantae; Streptophyta; Magnoliopsida; Arecales; Arecaceae
Description: long non-coding RNA (EGUI_LNC007609)
Source: RNAcentral
AGCCGCAUGUUGCCUAGCUAGGUGCUGCACAGUAUCAUGGCUUCUUGCAUAUUUGGCCACUAUUAAAACUUUGAGUUGAGUUAGGUUGGGAUUUUAUAGCCAUUUACUUUAUACUCCUAAAUUUUAUAAAAAUAUUUAUUGCUAAAUUAUUUAUAUUUGUUAUGACAUUCAUGCUGACUUGAUUGGUUAAUUUGAACAUGAAAUAUAUUAUCGUUCCCCCCACCCC